Molecule: transfer RNA, 75 nt
Filed under: Rickettsiales bacterium
Lineage: Bacteria; Pseudomonadati; Pseudomonadota; Alphaproteobacteria; Rickettsiales
Description: tRNA-Thr
Rfam family: tRNA
About the family: Transfer RNA (tRNA) molecules are approximately 80 nucleotides in length. Their secondary structure includes four short double-helical elements and three loops (D, anti-codon, and T loops).
Source: RNAcentral
GCCGCCAUAGCUCAGUGGUAGAGCGUCUCAUUGGUAAUGAGGAGGUCGCAGGUUCAAUCCUUGCUGGUGGCACCA